GACGAACGCUGGCGGCGUGCCUAAUACAUGCAAGUCGAGCGAAUCAAUAGGAGCUUGCUCCUGUUGAUUAGCGGCGGACGGGUGAGUAACACGUGGGCAACCUGCCUGUAAGACUGGGAUAACUUCGGGAAACCGGAGCUAAUACCGGAUAAUCCUUUUCCUCUCAUGAGGAAAAGCUGAAAGUCGGUUUCGGCUGACACUUACAGAUGGGCCCGCGGCGCAUUAGCUAGUUGGUGAGGUAACGGCUCACCAAGGCGACGAUGCGUAGCCGACCUGAGAGGGUGAUCGGCCACACUGGGACUGAGACACGGCCCAGACUCCUACGGGAGGCAGCAGUAGGGAAUCUUCCGCAAUGGACGAAAGUCUGACGGAGCAACGCCGCGUGAGCGAUGAAGGCCUUCGGGUCGUAAAGCUCUGUUGUUAGGGAAGAACAAGUAUCGGAGUAACUGCCGGUACCUUGACGGUACCUAACCAGAAAGCCACGGCUAACUACGUGCCAGCAGCCGCCGUAA
RNAcentral lists this ribosomal RNA (512 nucleotides) under uncultured bacterium. RNAcentral's name for it is "partial 16S ribosomal RNA". It matches the Rfam family "Bacterial small subunit ribosomal RNA", at positions 28 to 523 of the family's 1533-position model. The record is from RNAcentral.